AACGAACGCUGGCGGCAUGCCUAACACAUGCAAGUCGAAUGAGACCUUCGGGUCUAGUGGCGCACGGGUGCGUAACGCGUGGGAACCUGCCCUUAGGUUCGGAAUAACUCCCCGAAAGGGGUGCUAAUACCGGAUAAUGUCUUCGGACCAAAGAUUUAUCGCCUUUGGAUGAGCCCGCGUUGGAUUAGCUAGUUGGUAGGGUAAAAGCCUACCAAGGCGACGAUCCAUAGCUGGUCUGAGAGGAUGAUCAGCCACACUGGGACUGAGACACGGCCCAGACUCCUACGGGAGGCAGCAGUGGGGAAUAUUGGACAAUGGGCGAAAGCCUGAUCCAGCAAUGCCGCGUGAGUGAUGAAGGCCUUAGGGUUGUAAAGCUCUUUUACCCGGGAUGAUAAUGACAGUACCGGGAGAAUAAGCUCCGGCUAACUCCGUG
RNAcentral lists this ribosomal RNA (433 nucleotides) under uncultured bacterium. RNAcentral describes it as "partial 16S ribosomal RNA". It matches the Rfam family "Bacterial small subunit ribosomal RNA", at positions 29 to 507 of the family's 1533-position model. The record is from RNAcentral.